CAAAUAUGUCGAGUAUUUCAUAAGGACUUCAGCUCUUGCUUGGCUAUCAGCUCAAUGUUUUUUUCUCUUUGUUAAUAAUGUCUGUUUUCAUUACAGGAUUUCCAGAAAAUUGGUGGGUAUGUGUGCCACACAAGUCCACAGAGCCCUGAGAUUGCAGCUGUACUUGUAAUUUUGUACAUCACUUUUUGAUGACUAUAUCACAUGGCACGUGGAUUACGCAGAUCAGUAGUAGUGGAUGGAGGCUGAGGGGAUAAGAUGGGGAAAGGCACUGCAGCAGCCCUCCAGGACUUGUGUCACUUCUUCAGCGAUGAACUUUCACCAUUUCCUUUAAUUAUUGUGACUGUUAUGUUUCUGCAUUUGAAAACUUUUGACAACACAAAAAAUAAACAAGGACAACAAUUGCUGUAUG
Long non-coding RNA from Motacilla alba alba, 409 nucleotides. RefSeq lists it as uncharacterized. NCBI's taxonomy places the organism in Eukaryota, Metazoa, Chordata, Aves, Passeriformes, Motacillidae. The record is from RefSeq and is a predicted model, not a curated record. The transcript is spliced from 3 exons.